This 257-nucleotide ribosomal RNA is filed under the name uncultured bacterium. RNAcentral describes it as "partial 16S ribosomal RNA". It matches the Rfam family "Bacterial small subunit ribosomal RNA", at positions 524 to 776 of the family's 1533-position model. The record is from RNAcentral.
GACGUAGGGCGCGGAGCGUUGUCCGGAUUUAUUGGGCGUAAAGAGCUCGUAGGCGGCUUGUCGCGUCGAAUGUGAAAACCUAGCAGGCUCAACCUGCAGGCUUGCAUUCGAUACGGGCAGGCUCGAGUUCGGUAGGGGAGACUGGAAUUCCUGGUGUAGCGGUGAAAUGCGCAGAUAUCAGGAGGAACACCGGUGGCGAAGGCGGGUCUCUGGGCCGAUACUGACGCUGAGGAGCGAAAGCGUGGGGAGCGAACAGG